This 23-nucleotide microRNA is filed under the name Cordylochernes scorpioides. The record is from RNAcentral. Lineage: Eukaryota; Metazoa; Arthropoda; Arachnida; Pseudoscorpiones; Chernetidae.
CACGCUUCCUUACUUCCCAUAGG